This 822-nucleotide long non-coding RNA is filed under the name Coffea arabica (coffee). Its description in RNAcentral is "long non-coding RNA (CARA_LNC006434)". Lineage: Eukaryota; Viridiplantae; Streptophyta; Magnoliopsida; Gentianales; Rubiaceae. The record is from RNAcentral.
GUAUAUACUCCCAUACCUUUUCCUACAUUUUGUUCCUAAGAAUAGGCACAAGAAAUUAAGAUGCAUUGUCCAUAUCUAAACACGGGGUUGUACUCAGAACUCACACCCUGUAUAAGCACUUAAAAUAGUUUCAGACAAUUCUACUGCUGAAACUAGCUUAGCAUUCCCUUAGGAAUAUUAAAUUGAUCAUCUUAGAAUUUUAGCAGUACUUUUACAUACCUGAACAUAUUUCUAGCAAAGAAAAGAAGGGCUGAAUUAACUUUGCUAUUAAUCUAUGGGUGAAGGUGCUCACAGUGUGGGCAGAACCCACUGUGUGAAGCUGGUUCACCGGCUAUACCCAGAGGUUGAUCCAGCACUCCCAGCUUCCCAUGUAGAGCACAUGCUCAAGAAGUGCCCUGACACGAUCCCUGAUCCAAAGGCAGUCCAGUAUGUGAGAAAUGACCGUGGGACACCCAUGAUACUGGACAACAAUUACUACAGAAACAUAUUGGACAACAAAGGAUUAUUGCUCGUGGACCACCAAUUGGCUAAUGACAAAAGAACCAAACCCUACGUCAAGAAAAUGGCCAAGAGCCAAGACUACUUCUUCAAGGAGUUCUCUAGAGCCAUCACCAUUCUCUCUGAGAACAACCCUCUUACAGGAUCAAAGGGAGAGGUCAGAAAACAAUGCAAUCUUGCAAACAAGCUCCAUUAAAGGGUUUGCAUUGCUGUAAAAAUCCCACCUUUUUUCUUCUCUGAUGCAUGCGUUCAGGAAGGAGAAGAAAGGGAGGAUUGACCAAUAAAUUUGAGGUUCACACGCCAGUGGCUGUGACCCAUGUUGAU